This 69-nucleotide transfer RNA is filed under the name Aulostomus chinensis (Chinese trumpetfish). RNAcentral describes it as "tRNA-Arg". It matches the Rfam family "tRNA". From Rfam's summary of the family: Transfer RNA (tRNA) molecules are approximately 80 nucleotides in length. Their secondary structure includes four short double-helical elements and three loops (D, anti-codon, and T loops). The record is from RNAcentral. Lineage: Eukaryota; Metazoa; Chordata; Actinopteri; Syngnathiformes; Aulostomidae.
GGGCAGUUAGUUAAAACAAAACAUUUGAUUUCGGCUCAAAAGUCUGUGGUUCGAGUCCACAACCGCCCA